RNAcentral lists this microRNA precursor (173 nucleotides) under Pelobates cultripes (western spadefoot toad). Lineage: Eukaryota; Metazoa; Chordata; Amphibia; Anura; Pelobatidae. The record is from RNAcentral.
CAGCAGACACAUUCCAGCCAAUCAGCAGCAGACCCUCCCUCCCAGACCCUCCAACCUCCUGGACAGCAUCCAUUUUACAUUCAUUGUGAAGCUGCAUUCUUAGUGAGCUGUCCAGGAGGUGGGAGGGUCUGGGAGGGAGGGUCUGCUGCUGAUUGGCUGGAAUGUGUCUGCUG